UACGUAGGGGGCAAGCGUUGUCCGGAAUCAUUGGGCGUAAAGAGCGUGUAGGCGGCUCGGUAAGUCCGCUGUGAAAGUCCAGGGCUCAACCCUGGAAUGCCGGUGGAAACUGUCGGGCUAGAGUCCGGAAGAGGCGAGUGGAAUUCCUGGUGUAGCGGUGAAAUGCGCAGAUAUCAGGAGGAACACCAAUGGCGAAGGCAGCUCGCUGGGACGGUACUGACGCUGAGACGCGAAAGCGUGGGGAGCGAACAGG
Molecule: ribosomal RNA, 253 nt
Filed under: uncultured bacterium
Lineage: Bacteria
Description: partial 16S ribosomal RNA
Rfam family: Bacterial small subunit ribosomal RNA
Source: RNAcentral